AGAACUUUGCAAGUUGCCAUAUAUAACUUCAAGACAAUGAUGUUUCAGAAUUUGUUCAAGAGAAGGUGCUUGUUGAGGUCGUUGCCGUUAGUUACAUGGAGCCAUGCCCAGUUUGCCCACUUGAAACAGACGAGGGAGAUAAUGUUAGCAGGCAUUGCAUUAAAACUAAAAUAAAAAUAAAUACUGGUAAUCUUCUGUUGAUAAUGUCAGUGCCUAUAUUGAUUAGCUCUUCCUCUUUUAGUCCAUUCUUCAAAUUGUAUGUGUCAAUCAGAUAACUUUGGACUCCACUCUCAACAUCUAUCUCUCCUUCAUCCUUAUAAGGAAACAGGAGAAGCUCCACCCUCUAAUGCUAUCACCUUUUGAACGGAGACAUUGUUAUAAUAGUAUCAUCAAAAACAAGUCAGUAUAGAUUAUAGUCUGACUCAUUUCCCUCU
Long non-coding RNA from Amphimedon queenslandica, 434 nucleotides. RefSeq lists it as uncharacterized. The record is from RefSeq and is a predicted model, not a curated record. The transcript has 5 exons. NCBI's taxonomy places the organism in Eukaryota, Metazoa, Porifera, Demospongiae, Haplosclerida, Niphatidae.